This is a non-coding RNA of Otolemur garnettii (small-eared galago), 109 nucleotides long. NCBI's taxonomy places the organism in Eukaryota, Metazoa, Chordata, Mammalia, Primates, Galagidae. The record is from Rfam.
GUGCUUGCUCAGCAGUACAUGGACUAAAAUUGGACAGAUACGGGGAAGACGACCGUGGCUCCUGCACACACAGGGUGGCACGUGGAUUUGUGAAAUGUUCCAUAUUUUC